UACGGAGGGUGCAAGCGUUGUCCGGAUUUAUUGGGUUUAAAGGGUGCGUAGGCGGGCAUAUAAGUCAGUGGUGAAAUUCCGGGGCUCAACUUCGGAUGUGCCAUUGAUACUGUAAGUCUUGAGACGAGUCGAGGUAGCUGGAAUGUGUAGUGUAGCGGUGAAAUGCACAGAUAUUACACAGAACACCAAUUGCGAAGGCAAGUUACUAGGCUCGGACUGACGCUGAGGCACGAAAGUGUGGGGAGCAAACAGG
RNAcentral lists this ribosomal RNA (253 nucleotides) under uncultured bacterium. Its description in RNAcentral is "partial 16S ribosomal RNA". It matches the Rfam family "Bacterial small subunit ribosomal RNA", at positions 524 to 776 of the family's 1533-position model. The record is from RNAcentral.